GGACCCGCACAAGCGGUGGAGCAUGUGGUUUAAUUCGAAGCAACGCGAAGAACCUUACCAAAUCUUGACAUCCUUUGACAACUCUAGAGAUAGAGCUUUCCCCUUCGGGGGACAAAGUGACAGGUGGUGCAUGGUUGUCGUCAGCUCGUGUCGUGAGAUGUUGGGUUAAGUCCCGCAACGAGCGCAACCCUUAUCUUUAGUUGCCAUCAUUAGGUUGGGCACUCUAGAGAGACUGCCGGUGACAAACCGGAGGAAGGUGGGG
Molecule: ribosomal RNA, 262 nt
Filed under: uncultured prokaryote
Description: partial 16S ribosomal RNA
Rfam family: Bacterial small subunit ribosomal RNA
Source: RNAcentral